This 305-nucleotide ribosomal RNA is filed under the name uncultured bacterium. Its description in RNAcentral is "partial 16S ribosomal RNA". It matches the Rfam family "Bacterial small subunit ribosomal RNA", at positions 508 to 807 of the family's 1533-position model. The record is from RNAcentral.
ACAGCAGCCGCCGCGGUAAUACGUAGGCAGCGAGCGUUGUUCGGAAUUACUGGGCGUAAAGAGUGUGUAGGCGGUGCUCUAAGUUCGGUGUGAAAUCUCCUGGCUUAACUGGGAGGGUGCGCCGGAAACUGGAAUGCUCGAGCGUGGGAGAGGAAAGCGGAAUUCCUGGUGUAGCGGUGAAAUGCGUAGAUAUCAGGAGGAACACCUGUGGUGUAGACGGCUUUCUGGACCAUUGCUGACGCUGAGACACGAAAGCGUGGGUAGCAAACAGGAUUAGAUACCCCAGUAGUCCCUGUCUCUUAUAC